GGCUUGUUGAUAAUAAUUUUAAGUCUAGCCUGCCCAAUGAGUGAUUGAAUGGCCGCGGUACAUUGACCGUGCAAAGGUAGCAUAAUCAUUAGUUUUUUGAUUGAAAGCUUGAAUGAAUGGUUUAAUGAAAAAGUUUCUGUCUCUAGAGAAGUUUACUAGAAUUUUAUUUUUAAGUUAAAAAGCUUAAAUGUGUAUAGAAGACGAGAAGACCCUAUAGAGUUUUACAUUUACUAUAAAGUAAUAAUUAGAGGUUUAAUUUUAUGUUGUUUUGUGGAAAUGUUUUGUUGGGGUGAUAGAAAAAUUAAUAAAACUUUUUUUAAGCAAGAACAUUGAUUUAUGAAUAAUUGAUCCUAAAAUUUAGAUUAUAAGAUAAAAUUACCUUAGGGAUAACAGCGUAAUCUUCUCUAGAGUUCUUAUCGAAUAGGGGGAUUGCGACCUCGAUGUUGGAUUAAAAUUUACUUUUGGUGUAGAAGCUAAGUAGUUAGGUCUGUUCGACCUU
RNAcentral lists this ribosomal RNA (499 nucleotides) under Trigonopterus sp. 437 AR-2022a. Its description in RNAcentral is "partial large subunit ribosomal RNA". It matches the Rfam family "Bacterial large subunit ribosomal RNA", at positions 1825 to 2588 of the family's 2925-position model. Lineage: Eukaryota; Metazoa; Arthropoda; Insecta; Coleoptera; Curculionidae. The record is from RNAcentral.